CCUACGGGAGGCAGCAGUGGGGAAUAUUGCACAAUGGGGGAAACCCUGAUGCAGCGACGCCGCGUGAGUGAAGAAGUAAUUCGUUACGUAAAGCUCUAUCAGUAGGGAAGAAAAUGACGGUACUUGAGUAAGAAGCCCCGGCUAAUUACGUGCCAGCAGCCGCGGUAAUACGUAGGGGGCAAGCGUAAUCCGGAUUUACUGGGCGUAAAGGGAGUGUAGGCGGUGGGCCAAGUCCGGAGUGAAAUGCCGGAGCUUAACUUCGGAACUGCUUUGGAAACCGGCGAACUAGAGUGCGGGAGGGGUGAGCGGAAUGCCUGGUGUAGCGGUGAAAUGCGUAGAGAUUAGGAAGAACACCGAUUGCGAAGGCAGCUUACCGGGCUGUAACUGACGUUGAGGCUCGAAAGCGUGGGGAGCAAACAGGAUUAGAUACCCGAGUAGUC
This 440-nucleotide ribosomal RNA is filed under the name uncultured bacterium. Its description in RNAcentral is "partial 16S ribosomal RNA". It matches the Rfam family "Bacterial small subunit ribosomal RNA", at positions 338 to 795 of the family's 1533-position model. The record is from RNAcentral.